Molecule: small RNA, 473 nt
Filed under: Vigna angularis var. angularis
Lineage: Eukaryota; Viridiplantae; Streptophyta; Magnoliopsida; Fabales; Fabaceae
Description: Non-protein coding transcript
Source: RNAcentral
AUCCUCUGCAGAAACUCAUUUACAUCUUCAACUCUGUGUUAGAAAGAACCCCCUACUCUUCAAACUACCAACUUUCAUCCUCUGCAGAAACUCGUUUUCUUAUAUAAGCUCAGUGCAACACAAUCUGCUUUAAGAAUUAUUUCACCAAACUCUACAACAUCUUCUUUCUCCAAAGAACCCUCUAAAAAGACUCAGAUGCAUUAAGUCAGAACUGUCAAAUUCAUACAAGACAGCUUCAUGAAACCCUGUGAAAUACAGAGCACGUGCAGCACUUAACAAAGGAUCAAGUUGAUGAUCCUAGUGGGGAUUCUACAGGUGAUCAUGAUGAGCAGCAAUGAGGCUAUAGCUCUAUGAGAUGAUAUAGGGGAUUCUUUAUAUGUACCUAUUCUAGUAUCCCUUUAUCUUUCUAUAAAUAUAUUGUUUAUAUCUUUUGAUAAAUAAAUUGGAUCACAGUCUUGAACUUUAUAAAUAAA